GACAGAGGGGGCGAGCGUUGUCCGGAGUCACUGGGCGUAAAGCGCUUGUAGGCGGCUUCGUAAGUUGGGCGUGAAAGCUCCGGGCUUAACCCGGAGAGGCCGUCCAAUACUGCGGAGCUCGAGGGUGCCAGAGGAAGGUGGAAUUCCUGGUGUAGCGGUGAAAUGCGUAGAUAUCAGGAGGAACACCCGUGGCGAAGGCGGCUUUCUAGGGCAUUCCUGACGCUGAGACGCGAAAGCUAGGGGAGCAAACAGG
RNAcentral lists this ribosomal RNA (253 nucleotides) under uncultured bacterium. Its description in RNAcentral is "partial 16S ribosomal RNA". It matches the Rfam family "Bacterial small subunit ribosomal RNA", at positions 524 to 776 of the family's 1533-position model. The record is from RNAcentral.